This 75-nucleotide transfer RNA is filed under the name Kluyveromyces marxianus. RNAcentral's name for it is "tRNA-Tyr". It matches the Rfam family "tRNA". Rfam says of the family: Transfer RNA (tRNA) molecules are approximately 80 nucleotides in length. Lineage: Eukaryota; Fungi; Ascomycota; Saccharomycetes; Saccharomycetales; Saccharomycetaceae. RNAcentral also lists the same sequence under 2 other names. The record is from RNAcentral.
CUCUCGGUAGCCAAGUUGGUUUAAGGCGCCAGACUGUAAAUCUGGAGAUCGGGCGUUCGACUCGCCCCCGGGAGA